RNAcentral lists this ribosomal RNA (478 nucleotides) under uncultured bacterium. Its description in RNAcentral is "partial 16S ribosomal RNA". It matches the Rfam family "Bacterial small subunit ribosomal RNA", at positions 28 to 507 of the family's 1533-position model. The record is from RNAcentral.
GAUGAACGCUGGCGGCGUGCUUAACACAUGCAAGUCGAACGGGAAACCUUUUAUUGAAGCUUCGGCAGAUUUAGCUGGUUUCUAGUGGCGGCCGGGUGAGUAACGCCUGGGUAACCUGCCUUAUCCAGGGGGAUAACAGUCAGAAAUCGCUGCUAAUCUCUCAUAAGCGCACAUAGCUGCAUAGCACAGUGUGAAAAACUCCGGUGGUUUAAGAUGGACCCACGUUGGAUUAGCUGGUAGGAGGGGUAACGGCCCACCAAGGCGACGAUCCAUAGCCGGCCUGAGAGGGUGAACCGCCACAUUGGGAGUGAGAGACGGCCGAGACUCCUACGGGAGGCAGCAGGGGGGAAUAUGGAACAACGGGGGAGACAAUGAGGCAGCCACGCCGCGAGAAGGAAGAAGUAUCGCGGAAUGUAAACUUCUAUCAGCAGGGAAGAUAAUGACGGUACCUGACCAAGAAGCCCCGGCUAACUACGUG